Molecule: ribosomal RNA, 500 nt
Filed under: uncultured bacterium
Lineage: Bacteria
Description: partial 16S ribosomal RNA
Rfam family: Bacterial small subunit ribosomal RNA
Source: RNAcentral
AUUGAACGCUGGCGGCAUGCCUUACACAUGCAAGUCGAACGGCAGCACGGGAGCAAUCCUGGUGGCGAGUGGCGAACGGGUGAGUAAAGUAUCGGAACGUGCCCAGUCGUGGGGGAUAACGUAGCGAAAGUUACGCUAAUACCGCAUACGAUCUAUGGAUGAAAGCGGGGGAUCGCAAGACCUCGCGCGAUUGGAGCGGCCGAUAUCAGAUUAGGUAGUUGGUGGGGUAAAGGCUCACCAAGCCGACGAUCUGUAGCUGGUCUGAGAGGACGACCAGCCAGACUGGGACUGAGACUCGGCCCAGACUCGUACGGGAGGAAGGAGUGGGGAAUUUUGGACCAUGGGCGAAAGCCUGAUCCAGCCAUGCCGCGUGCAGGAUGAAGGCCUUCGGGUUGUAAACUGCUUUUGUACGGAACGAAAAGGUUUGGCCUAAUAAGCUGAGCUCAUGACGGUACCGUAAGAAUAAGCACCGGCUAACUACGUGCCAGCCGCCGCAGUAA